RNAcentral lists this long non-coding RNA (487 nucleotides) under Homo sapiens (human). Its description in RNAcentral is "HSALNT0360277". Lineage: Eukaryota; Metazoa; Chordata; Mammalia; Primates; Hominidae. The record is from RNAcentral.
UAACGGGCGGGAAAGGACAAGAAAGGCAGAGAGGUCGGCCCUGGCCACGAUGGAGUCUGUCUAAGGUAGCCCGGACAGAGCUGCGCUCAGCCUUGCAUGGGAGAAGGGCCAGGACAGGCACGGGCGUGCUGGACAGUUCCCGGUUUCUAGUUCUCUGUAUCCGGCGACCAAUGCCCUAGGCCGCGACCCCGCAGCCAGGCCUACUUCCCUGCUGGGACUGCGCAUUUCCAGAAUGCUUGCCUGUUUUUCCACCAGAUAUUUAAACGCAGCUGGGACUGCAGUGAGCUUCACUUGUCAUGAAGGAGAGUGGGCAGCUGCUUUUUGGGGAAGAACUCCUCAGCUGUACAGCCCAAAGGCAGCAAUGAGAAACAGGAAGGAUGCACUGGCCCUUGCUGUCUAACACGUGUCACUGAUGCAAAGAAGAGAAACUAAGGUCCCUGUGGCAGCAUCUACCAAAAACACUGCAAUUGAUCAACACUAUUCUCCG